UACGUAGGGUGCGAGCGUUAAUCGGAAUUACUGGGCGUAAAGCGUGCGCAGGCGGUCUGUUAAGACCAUGUGAAAUCCCCGGGCUUAACCUGGGAACUGCAUUGGUGACUGGCAGGCUUUGAGUGUGGCAGAGGGAGGUAGAAUUCCACGUGUAGCAGUGAAAUGCGUAGAGAUGUGGAGGAAUACCGAUGGCGAAGGCAGCCUCCUGGGCCAACACUGACGCUCAUGCACGAAAGCGUGGGGAGCAAACAGG
Molecule: ribosomal RNA, 253 nt
Filed under: uncultured bacterium
Lineage: Bacteria
Description: partial 16S ribosomal RNA
Rfam family: Bacterial small subunit ribosomal RNA
Source: RNAcentral